GAGAGGAGCUUGCUCUUCGAUUCGGCGGCGGACGGGUGAGUAAUGCCUAGGAAUCUGCCUAGUAGUGGGGGACAACGUUUCGAAAGGAACGCUAAUACCGCAUACGUCCUACGGGAGAAAGUGGGGGAUCUUCGGACCUCACGCUAUUAGAUGAGCCUAGGUCGGAUUAGCUAGUUGGUAGGGUAAAGGCCUACCAAGGCGACGAUCCGUAACUGGUCUGAGAGGAUGAUCAGUCACACUGGAACUGAGACACGGUCCAGACUCCUACGGGAGGCAGCAGUGGGGAAUAUUGGACAAUGGGCGAAAGCCUGAUCCAGCCAUGCCGCGUGUGUGAAGAAGGCCUUCGGGUCGUAAAGCACUUUAAGUUGGGAGGAAGGGCUCAUAGCGAAUACCUGUGAGUUUUGACGUUACCAACAGAAUAAGCACCGGCUAACUUCGUGCCAGCAGCCGCGGUAAUACGAAGGGUGCAAGCGUUAAUCGGAAUUACUGGGCGUAAAGCGCGCGUAGGUGGCUUGAUAAGUUGGAUGUGAAAUCCCCGGGCUCAACCUGGGAACUGCAUCCAAAACUGUCUGGCUAGAGUGCGGUAGAGGGUAGUGGAAUUUCCAGUGUAGCGGUGAAAUGCGUAGAUAUUGGAAGGAACACCAGUGGCGAA
RNAcentral lists this ribosomal RNA (652 nucleotides) under uncultured Pseudomonadaceae bacterium. RNAcentral's name for it is "bacterial SSU rRNA". It matches the Rfam family "Bacterial small subunit ribosomal RNA", at positions 71 to 719 of the family's 1533-position model. The record is from RNAcentral. Lineage: Bacteria; Pseudomonadati; Pseudomonadota; Gammaproteobacteria; Pseudomonadales; Pseudomonadaceae.